RNAcentral lists this ribosomal RNA (446 nucleotides) under uncultured bacterium. RNAcentral describes it as "bacterial SSU rRNA". It matches the Rfam family "Bacterial small subunit ribosomal RNA", at positions 27 to 518 of the family's 1533-position model. The record is from RNAcentral.
GAACGAACGCUGGCGGCAGGCUUAACACAUGCAAGUCGAACGCUGUAGCAAUACAGAGUGGCAGACGGGUGAGUAACGCGUGGGAACGUGCCCUUCGGUUCGGAAUAACUCAGGGAAACUUGAGCUAAUACCGGAUACGUGCGAGAGCAGAAAGAUUUAUCGCCGAAGGAUCGGCCCGCGUCCGAUUAGCUAGUUGGUGAGGUAAUGGCUCACCAAAGCGACGAUCGGUAGCUGGUCUGAGAGGAUGAUCAGCCACACUGGGACUGAGACACGGCCCAGACUCCUACGGGAGGCAGCAGUGGGGAAUAUUGGACAAUGGGCGAAAGCCUGAUCCCAGCCAUGCCGCGUGAGUGAUGAAGGCCCUAGGGUUGUAAAGCUCUUUCGCCAGGGACGAUAAUGACGGUACCUGGAUAAGAAGCCCCGGCUAACUUCGUGCCAGCCGCUGC